This is a long non-coding RNA of Oncorhynchus tshawytscha (Chinook salmon), 2935 nucleotides long. RefSeq lists it as uncharacterized. The transcript has 4 exons. The record is from RefSeq and is a predicted model, not a curated record. NCBI's taxonomy places the organism in Eukaryota, Metazoa, Chordata, Actinopteri, Salmoniformes, Salmonidae.
CUUAAAAUAAAGUGGUGAUCUUAACUAACCUAAAACUGAAUUUUUACUAGGAUUAAAUGUCAGGAAUUGUGAAAAACUGAGUUAAAAUGUAUUUGGCUAAGGCGUAUGAAAACUUCCAUCUUCAACUGUAUCAGUAUAACGUGUUGUCAUCCUUACUGCCGCUGAUUUGGCAGACCCAUUAAACACAAAUACUGCGUUUGUAAAUGGUGUUGGAUGUUGGAGUGUGCAUGUGAACCGACUUCAACUGUACAUACAGAACAAAAAUUCUGAAUUGCUCUCUAGUAACCGAUAGGACGAACGACCAGCCGGCUUGGGUAGCAAACCCUAGAUUUGUGUUGGGACUAUAUCUUGUGGAAAGAUGAAAUAGUAUGAAUAAAUUAAUCAAAAUAAUGUUAAUGAAAAUAUGUCAAUCAUUAUUUGAAGAUGUUGGUAAACCAUUUGUACAAAAGUGAUAAUGCCCUCAAAGUUGGUGUUUGGAGGAUAUAUGUAUAUAUAUUUAUAUAUCCUUUUAUGCAAUGAGUUUGUUUGUUCUAAAUGUUCCAUUGCUAUACUGGCUGGCAACGUUCUUAUCCUUUGCUUGCUAGCGAUCCAACGACAGUUAAUUUACAGUCAUGUCAAAAAGUGCAGCCAGAAUUACAGCUGCAUUUUUGUAGAAUAACAGCCACCAUUUAAGUAACAAUAUGGUAUGGCAGCUGAGCGAAGAGCCCUUACGGACCUCCAUAGUUUUUUACUAUAAUAGGGUAAAAUGUAGCAACUUGUUCCUCGUCAGUAUAGUGGUGAGUAUCCCCUCCUGUCACGUGGGAGACCGGGGUUCAAUUCCCCAAAGGGGAGGAAGGAAGGUUUAUUUACAUUUUACACCAAGUCCUCAAAGCAGAAAAUACGCUUGAAAUUCAAGCUUUCUGAUAUGAUUUCCAGCCUGUGGGGUAAAUUCUCUUUCACAAGGCAUUGGUUGUUUAGUGGUAGAAUUCUCGCCUGCCGCGCAGGGUGACUCCUGGGUUUGAUGCAACUGCUUUUGAACAUGGAUUUUUGACAAGUAUGCAAACCCCAGAGGCUAUCCAGAAAUAUUUAGUUAUGGUAGAAUUCUCAGCUGCCUCUUGAAAAGUCUGUGAGUCCUUUCAUUUACAGUUUGGACAUUUACGUCUUCACAGUAGACUUUUGUGAAUCCAUUGUAGAUUUCCAGUGCGUGAGUUGAUUUACUUUGUGCAAGGUUUUAUUUGUUAAAUGGGAAACUAAUAUCCAACUCGUCAGUGAUAACUGUUGAGUUUUGAGUUUGUGACAACAAAUGUAGAACAAUGCCUUAACUUCUAACUACUUUUGUGGGGCCCGUGAGCGGAGUGGAGCAAAACCGAUAACAUGGACGUGUCUGUGAGAGUCUCAGCUGUCCAUAGAUGAGUCACAAUUAUUUCAAUCACUACGGAUGUUUUUGUGAGAAGGGUUAGGGUUAACUCCCAACACUCCAAAUUUAGGCUUAGCACCCAACACUCCAACGUUUUUCACACGGCCGACCCACCGUCCUGUGCAUUAUAACUUGUCAGCACUAUAGCCACCAUUUAAGUAACAAUAUGGUAUGGCAGCCGAGCGAAGAGCCUUUACGGACCUCCAUAGUUUUUUACUAUAAUAGGGUAAAAUGUAGCAACUUGUUCCUCGUCAGUAUAGUGAACAUCAUGCCAAACAUUAGCACAUUGCGAAAGAACCCCAAGAAUAUAUGGAAACGUUACUGCCAAGGGGCCGUCGGAGACGGGACCACUCCCACUGCCUCCUCCUAAACCACCCCAGCUGGACCCAAGAAACGUGUUCCGCCUCCUAUGCCAACCUGCCACAAAAGAAAAGGUACAUUUAAAGUCAACAGUUCCUUCUGUGGCCGAUGCUAGGGGGGAGUUCCCUCCCACCAACGAGGACACACCGUCUUGGGUCCAGUGUGAAAACUGUGGUUUCACUUUAGUUGUGUCGGGUGGAAAGGGGAAGAAGAGGAGGAUGUACAAUAUAUAUAUAUAUGCACAUGGUGUAGCUCUUGAAAAACAAGUUAAAAUAUAUAUUUUUUUAUGUCUUGGGUGGAGGGUUAUGUGUUAUUCUAAUGAAAGUUAUAUAGCCAUAUAAGAACACAAACACUGUGUGGUUCUCUCAAUUCUGCAUUAGAUUAAAAACAAAAUUGUUCAAGUGAAUAUGCUCAACGGUAGAAUGUUUACUUGAUUCUAAGGUAAACUGAAAAGAAAGCAAAAGACAGGUUUAGACUGAUUAUUUUCCUAAUUACUAUUAUGUUUAAUGUUGAUACUCACACUAUUGCAAUGAAUGACUAAUAAUCAAAGAUGGUUUAAAUAUAAUGACAAGGCUUUUAAGGAAGAAAAUACCACAACCUUUUGCUUGUUAUUAUGCUUUUUUUUUGUUGGGUUCUUGAGAAUAGUGUACAAACAAAUAUCCACAGGGUGGCGACAUUCUGUAAAUAAUGAGAAUUGAGUCCCAUGAAGUGGCAGGAGUCGAUACUUCCAUUGUUGAUCGAUAGAAUUAGAUGACACAUUGGUUUGCGGUCUUUCGGACGACAGUCAGUAACAAAGCUGUACCUUUGUUUUUCGGCGGAUUUGGCACAACUGUACUGUGACUGGCGUCGGCAUGGCAGAUAGGUCGGAUGGUAGUGUUAGGGCAAUUGAUAUUGAUAAUGAUGAUGAAACCAAUGAUGAUCAGCUAGUUACACCGGUUGUAAAUAGUCGGAACAGGAGUACGAGAAAUCGCAGGCACUUGUUUGAAAUUGAAAAGCGUCUUGGUAGCAUUUGAUAAAGAAAGGACAUCAAGACGAUGCAGCUGCGUUAUAAGUGGGAUGCAUUGUUGAGUGCUACAUCACGAGGGGUUCGUGCUGAUUGUACGGAGACUGUGACAGACGUUUAAAUGGCGUCCCUUGAGAAAGCAAGAACAAGAUGUAUGUCAGAAGAAGUGCAGUAUU